RNAcentral lists this ribosomal RNA (521 nucleotides) under Dietzia sp. PDR22. RNAcentral's name for it is "bacterial SSU rRNA". It matches the Rfam family "Bacterial small subunit ribosomal RNA", at positions 338 to 870 of the family's 1533-position model. The record is from RNAcentral. Lineage: Bacteria; Bacillati; Actinomycetota; Actinomycetes; Mycobacteriales; Dietziaceae.
CCUACGGGAGGCAGCAGUGGGGAAUAUUGCACAAUGGGCGAAAGCCUGAUGCAGCGACGCCGCGUGGGGGAUGACGGUCUUCGGAUUGUAAACCCCUUUCAGUAGGGACGAAGCGCAAGUGACGGUACCUGCAGAAGAAGCACCGGCUAACUACGUGCCAGCAGCCGCGGUAAUACGUAGGGUGCGAGCGUUGUCCGGAAUUACUGGGCGUAAAGAGCUCGUAGGCGGUUUGUCACGUCGUCUGUGAAAUCCCUCGGCUUAACCGGGGGCGUGCAGGCGAUACGGGCAGACUUGAGUACUACAGGGGAGACUGGAAUUCCUGGUGUAGCGGUGAAAUGCGCAGAUAUCAGGAGGAACACCGGUGGCGAAGGCGGGUCUCUGGGUAGUAACUGACGCUGAGGAGCGAAAGCAUGGGUAGCGAACAGGAUUAGAUACCCUGGUAGUCCAUGCCGUAAACGGUGGGCGCUAGGUGUGGGGUCCUUCCACGGACUCCGUGCCGUAGCUAACGCAUUAAGCGCCCC